This 59-nucleotide transfer RNA is filed under the name Olavius algarvensis. Lineage: Eukaryota; Metazoa; Annelida; Clitellata; Tubificida; Naididae. The record is from RNAcentral.
AAUAAGGAAGCAAACAGCAAUUUAACUUCGACCUAAAUAAAGCCUAACGGCACUUAUUA